Molecule: non-coding RNA, 135 nt
Organism: Triticum aestivum (bread wheat)
Lineage: Eukaryota; Viridiplantae; Streptophyta; Magnoliopsida; Poales; Poaceae
Source: Rfam
CAUGUACUCCAUCCGUCCGAAAAUACUUGUCAUCAAAAUAGGUAAAAGGUGAUAUAUCUCAAACUAAAAUACAUCUAGAUACAUCUUCUUUUAUCCAUUUUGAUGACAAGUAUUUCCGGAUGGAGGUAGUACCUC